CUGUUCAACGAUGGCUGUCGUUGUGCACCUGAGAUCUUCGAGGUAAAACGUUUCAGACUUUAGUGUGGAAUGAAACGACUCAAUGGGGGCAUUAUCAGCGG
This 101-nucleotide non-coding RNA is filed under the name Paenibacillus pabuli. Lineage: Bacteria; Bacillati; Bacillota; Bacilli; Caryophanales; Paenibacillaceae. The record is from RNAcentral.